This 220-nucleotide unclassified non-coding RNA is filed under the name plant metagenome. RNAcentral's name for it is "partial contains small subunit ribosomal RNA, internal transcribed spacer 1, and 5.8S ribosomal RNA". The record is from RNAcentral.
UUUCCGUAGGUGAACCUGCGGAAGGAUCAUUACAGAGUUCAUGCCCUCACGGGUAGAUCUCCCACCCUUGAAUAUUUAUACCUUAGUUGCUUUGGCAGGCCGUGGAAACACCAUGGGCUCCGGCUUAUGCGUGCCUGCCAAAGGAAACAAACUCUGUUUUUAGUGAUGUCUGAGUACUAUAUAAUAGUUAAAACUUUCAACAACGGAUCUCUUGGUUCUG